CANUCCGCCUGGGGAGUACGACCGCAAGGUUGAAACUCAAAGGAAUUGACGGGGGCCCGCACAAGCGGUGAGCAUGUGGUUUAAUUCGAAGCAACGCGAAGANCCUUACCAGGUCUUGACAUCCCGAUGCUAUUCUUAGAGAUAGGAAGUUACUUCGGUACAUCGGAGACAGGUGGUGCAUGGUUGUCGUCAGCUCGUGUCGUGAGAUGUUGGGUUAAGUCCCGCAACGAGCGCAACCCUUAUUGUUAGUUGCCAUCAUUAAGUUGGGCACUCUAGCGAGACUGCCGGUAAUAAACCGGAGGAAGGUGGGGAUGACGUCAAAUCAUCAUGCCCCUUAUGACCUGGGCUACACACGUGCUACAAUGGUCGGUACAACGAGUUGCGAGCCGGUGACGGCAAGCUAAUCUCUGAAAGCCGAUCUCAGUUCGGAUUGGAGGCUGCAACUCGCCUCCAUGAAGUCGGAAUCGCUAGUAAUCGCGAAUCAGCACGCCGCGGUGAAUACGUUCCCGGGCCUUGUACACACCGCCCGUCACACCACGAGAGUUUGUAACACCCGAAGUCGGUGAGGUANCCUUUUAGGG
This 581-nucleotide ribosomal RNA is filed under the name uncultured bacterium. RNAcentral's name for it is "bacterial SSU rRNA". It matches the Rfam family "Bacterial small subunit ribosomal RNA", at positions 865 to 1447 of the family's 1533-position model. The record is from RNAcentral.